This 447-nucleotide long non-coding RNA is filed under the name Elaeis guineensis (African oil palm). RNAcentral's name for it is "long non-coding RNA (EGUI_LNC065594)". Lineage: Eukaryota; Viridiplantae; Streptophyta; Magnoliopsida; Arecales; Arecaceae. The record is from RNAcentral.
CGACGGUCGAUAUGGAGUAGUUUGACCUGCUGGUUCAGCGGGUCAGAGGCCUCACCGAAGCAGUGCAGACCAUGCAGCAGCAGCAACAGCCACAGACGUCAGUGCGGUUGGAAAGAGCAUCAUCGGAGUUCCAAGAUCCGGUAGUAGGGCGGGCCACCUAGGCCAGUCAUCCUAUCUUCCCCGAAAAGAGAAAUUCGAGGGUGGAGAGCCCUUAGUCUGAUCACGAUUCCACUCCCGAAGGAUCCCUACCUCCACUCUAUCGGAAGACCCUCGAGACUCACAGUCGAGAGGACCUCCUGGAUCGAAGGCUCCAGGAGAUGAACCGACAGAUCGAAGAGCUCCACCACACUCCCCCUGAUUAUGGUAAGGACAUCUGUGCUGACCCUCCUUUCUCUCAAAUGAUCAUCAACACCAUCUCUAGAGGGCCCCGAAAGAGAGUGACCGGUG